This 70-nucleotide transfer RNA is filed under the name Mordacia mordax (southern lamprey). RNAcentral describes it as "tRNA-Met". The record is from RNAcentral. Lineage: Eukaryota; Metazoa; Chordata; Hyperoartia; Petromyzontiformes; Petromyzontidae. RNAcentral also lists the same sequence under 1 other name.
AGUAAGAUAAGCUAAACUAAGCUUUUGGGCCCAUACCCCAAAUAUGAUAAUAUAUUUGUAUCUCUUACUA